This 429-nucleotide ribosomal RNA is filed under the name Chloroflexota bacterium. RNAcentral describes it as "Chloroflexi bacterium partial 16S ribosomal RNA". It matches the Rfam family "Bacterial small subunit ribosomal RNA", at positions 355 to 776 of the family's 1533-position model. Lineage: Bacteria; Bacillati; Chloroflexota. The record is from RNAcentral.
UGGGGAAUAUUGCACAAUGGGCGCAAGCCUGAUGCAGCCAUGCCGCGUGUAUGAAGAAGGCCUUCGGGUUGUAAAGUACUUUCAGCGGGGAGGAAGGGAGUAAAGUUAAUACCUUUGCUCAUUGACGUUAUCCGCAGAAGAAGCACCGGCUAACUCCGUGCCAGCAGCCGCGGUAAUACGGAGGGUGCGAGCGUUAAUCGGAAUUACUGGGCGUAAAGCGCACGCAGGCGGUUGAUUGAGUCAGAUGUGAAAUCCCCGGGCUUAACCCGGGAAUUGCAUCUGAUACUGGUCAGCUAGAGUCUUGUAGAGGGGGGUAGAAUUCCAUGUGUAGCGGUGAAAUGCGUAGAGAUGUGGAGGAAUACCGGUGGCGAAGGCGGCCCCCUGGACAAAGACUGACGCUCAGGUGCGAAAGCGUGGGGAGCAAACAGG